Molecule: unclassified non-coding RNA, 322 nt
Filed under: Hevea brasiliensis (rubber tree)
Lineage: Eukaryota; Viridiplantae; Streptophyta; Magnoliopsida; Malpighiales; Euphorbiaceae
Source: RNAcentral
UCUUUUUCUCCAAUUGAAUCAAGAAAUCUCUAGUACCUUUCCCUUAAUCACAAUCCAUCUUCUUAAUCCUUAAACCCUAAACUAUCUCUUCAUUUCAAUGUAAUACAAUGGUGUUUUCAUCAUUUUAGCUAUACAAAUUUGCUUCUUUCUUGAUUUUUGGUGUGUUUUUGAAGGGAAAUGCCAAGCGUGGCUGUGAAAUUAUACAGUGUUUUCUUCAAAUUUAUGUUAAAGCAUCGGUUGCAGAACCGAAUUCAAAUCGAUGACACCAUAAAUGGGUCACAGCAUUUUGGUGUAACAUCUCGACCCAAUGAAGAAUCCAUUG